RNAcentral lists this ribosomal RNA (403 nucleotides) under uncultured Clostridium sp. RNAcentral's name for it is "bacterial SSU rRNA". It matches the Rfam family "Bacterial small subunit ribosomal RNA", at positions 356 to 774 of the family's 1533-position model. The record is from RNAcentral. Lineage: Bacteria; Bacillati; Bacillota; Clostridia; Eubacteriales; Clostridiaceae.
GGGGAAUAUUGCACAAUGGGGGAAACCCUGAUGCAGCAACGCCGCGUGAAGGAUGAAGGUUUUCGGAUUGUAAACUUCUUUAGUCAGGGACGAAUAAAUGACGGUACCUGAAGAAUAAGCCACGGCUAACUACGUGCCAGCAGCCGCGGUAAUACGUAGGUGGCGAGCGUUGUCCGGAAUUACUGGGUGUAAAGGGCGUGUAGGCGGAAUAGAAGGUCAGAUGUGAAAUACCAAGGCUUAACCUUGGGGCUGCAUUUGAAACCGCUAUUCUUGAGUGCUGGAGAGGAAAGCGGAAUUCCUAGUGUAGCGGUGAAAUGCGUAGAUAUUAGGAGGAACACCAGUGGCGAAGGCGGCUUUCUGGACAGUAACUGACGCUGAGGCGCGAAAGCGUGGGGAGCAAACA